CAGCAGCCGCGGGAAUACGUAGGGUGCGAGCGUUAAUCGGAAUUACUGGGCGUAAAGCGUGCGCAGGCGGUUAUAUAAGACAGAUGUGAAAUCCCCGGGCUCAACCUGGGACCUGCAUUUGUGACUGUAUAGCUAGAGUACGGUAGAGGAGGAUGGAAUUCCGCGUGUAGCAGUGAAAUGCGUAGAUAUGCGGAGGAACACCGAUGGCGAAGGCAAUCCCCUGGACCUGUACUGACGCUCAUGCACGAAAGCGUGGGGAGCAAACAGGAUUAGAUACCCCGGUAGUCCCUGUCUCUUAUAC
Molecule: ribosomal RNA, 301 nt
Filed under: uncultured bacterium
Lineage: Bacteria
Description: partial 16S ribosomal RNA
Rfam family: Bacterial small subunit ribosomal RNA
Source: RNAcentral